UACUUGACGAGACGAAGAGAUUGAUACCUACCUCGACUCCUAACUCGCCGGGGAUUCGCCGGAAAAUGCCUCGAAAGCUCCGGCCAAACUUUGAACUUGUUGAUCUCCGUGUUCUUACGUCCAAAAACUUCCAACGAAGCACUCCGAGCUUCCUUGGGACUUCCUUAAGCCCACUGUGAGCUUAGUUUGGCCUAAAACACAACCAAUUCAAAGCUCAUGAAUAGUACACUUUCACGGGGAGUUUAGAAUCUAGGUUUUCCGAAGUAAAACUUACCUGAAAUUGGUGUCUACGUGAUCGUGGAGGUUCCAGGAGUUCGAUGGUGGUCUUAAAUGGAACGUUGGUACAAGAUUGUGGGGUGGUUCUUGGUGGUUGCCGUGAGUUCGAGAGUAAGAGAGAGAGUCUGAAAUGAUAGAAGAAUAAGAGAGAGAGAGUGACUAAGGAGAUGAGAGAGAGACAACAAAAACGGGUUUUGGGGAAGGAUUUCAGGGUAUAAGGCCCUACCUUAACCCAUAUAAUAUUAACACAUACAAUUACACACCUUAAUCCCGUUUAAGGGUAUUUCUGAAAUUUCACGUCCUCGGAAUUUAAAAUUCCGGGACGGGCUGUGACAAUCUCCCCUCCUUAUAGAAUUUCGUCCCCGAAAUUCCAGUCACCAACCAGAACAUCAAAACUCAUAAAAUAGCCUCGGAUACAUAUCUCUCAUCCGUUCUUCCGUCUCCCAAGUAGCUUCUUCCACUGAAUGGUUCCUCCACAAUACUUCCUCCACAAUACUUUUACCACUUACUCUGUCUUAAUUCUCAGGACCUUCUUUUUCCAAUCCAAAGUCGUCAUUAGCUCCUCACUAAUUAGAUCCAGUUUAAUUCUCAAUAGUUACACCAGAAUCCCAUGUGACGAAUUUGCCACCUAGUGACAACGCAUCGAAAUAUAAUACAUUAUGCACCUUAGCCAAUUUUGAAGGCAUCACAAACUUAUAUGCAACUUCAUCGAUUCCUUUAAUGAUCAAAACGGUCUGAUGUGUUCAAGACUUAUCUUGUCUCCUUUCUGAAUCUUACUAUUUCUGUUCAUGGUGAAAUUCCAAAAAUAUCGAAUCAUAAAACACAUCAUGCACUUACAACAACUCUGGAAGCCAUUUAAAUAUGUAUUCAACUUCACCAACCUUUCGAUGAUCACAUAAAAUUCGGUUCACUUAGGAUUUAACUUGCCUUCCUAUCCAGACCGAAUCACACUUUUCCAAGGUGAAAACUUCGAAAAUAUAAAACCAUCUGUCUUAUACACUCGAUUAGUGGCAUAUCCCUCUGUUAAUCUCUUUUGCCAUUCCUGGUUACUUUCAGGUUAACUUAAUCACCUGAAUACUUUGAGGAGACUCAUCCAUAGUCUCAGGGUCUACUAAAACUCUUUCUCGAUCGAAUCUUUCUCUACCCAGAAACAUUCCAUUCACAAGUCAUCAAAAACCGACUCACGUGACACAUUUCAUGGUCCUUAUGGCGUUACUUCAGAAACUGCACAACCAACAUACUUAAGAAACUCAGCAGUUCCGUAAACCAAUUCUUCUUUCUAUAAAACAAAUAAGUACCGUUACUCAACCCUGGAGUAAAUGUACUAACUUGGUACAUUGACCAACUAUCGCUUCAAAUUCAAUCAUAACCAUCCUAUGUAUCAUGAAACUUGUACACAUAGUCCCAAGUAUCAUCUUUCCAUUUCCGUUUCGAAACAGAAAAUAGCUGUCUCAAUCCAAAGGUUUAUUUCUUUCUGCCUCAAUCUGCUGACCAAUAAAAAUGUCGAAUGGUAUGAUAAACCUUAUUACUUUCAAAAUAUUGCAGAAGCUGAACAGUGAACUUCGUCCAAUAUUGCUUGCUUAAACCCACAGCAUUAUGCACAUACUUUUCGUUUGCUUGUAUUCACAUACCAUCCGAGAUAGCCUGGUAAGCUAAGAAAUUCCAAAUCUCAAUUACGACUCGUGGUUGUUCCAAAUUCUCAAUUUCUGCUAUCUUUUAAGGAUUCACUUGAAUACCUUAAGAAUAUAUGACAAAUCUCAAAAUGCCACCUGAUUCAUCUAACUUUAGCAUUUGCUAAACUUAGCAUACAAUCGACAUUCUUCCAAUCUUUAUUCCACCGACUUAAUACGUUUACAUGCUCUGCUCUGGCUCAGAAUAUGCCAGAAUAUCUUCAACGAAAAUGAUAUCAAUUAUCAAAGCAUUAUUGUAAUACUUCAUCCAUCAACUCAUAAAACAGCAUGAGUAUCCAUAUAGCAUCACCAAACUUCAUAAAGACUAUAACAAGUCCAGAAAAACAUCUUAUGAUCAACGUCACUUAUAAUAUUCAAUUGGUAGUAACCAGAUCUCAAUUCAAUCUUUGAAUCUUCGCAAUUACUUCUGAGCUGGUUAAAUAAACAUCAGUACAUCACGAUGGAUAACGGUUCCCAAUCGUUACCCGAUUCCAUUGUCUAUAAUCAAUGGAUAGUCUUAAAGCCCAUUUUCUUCCUUACCAACGAACUGGGGCUCCCCCAAAGCGUUGUACUAGGUUGAAUAAAAUUUUUAUCAACCAAUUCUUUCAACUGAAUUUCCAAUUCCCUUAACUCAUCAUGAACCAAUCUUUAACAUAAAUCUAUACUUGGCAACAAAUCAAUAGUGAAUCUCAUAUCUCUGCCUGAAGGCAAUCCAGGUAUACUUUCAGGGAAGACAUCAAGAAAAGUCUAACCCUUUCGACAUUAUUCACACUACUCCAAACAACAUCAUUUAGCACCACAUGAACUAAGUAUUUUUUUUUUUUUUUUUUUUUUUUUUUUGGGGCAGCCUUUCAAAACAAUAUCUUUGCUUUCACAGCAUAAAUAAUGGCUGAACUCACUUCACUUUGUAUGCCCACCAAAGUAACCUCUAAUUAAUCAACUCGAUGGAAAGUAACUGGUUUCCCGUAACAUUCCAUCUAGUCACAACUAUAAACAAUCAAUCUAAUGGAAUAAAAUUAACUGACCCAAUACAUACUUUAUUACUACUAAGCAUUCUGAAUAAGUACAAUACUAAUAUAAAAUAAUCUACCGGUUUACUUACUUAACGAAUCCACGAAUGAGUUAUUAAUAUUACAGUCUGCAGCCCGCAAUACUGAUAAAUCAUCGUUGUCUCGAUAAGUAGGCAACCACUCUCAAAGAUAUAACAUACAUAAUAAGAAAUAUAUCAGCCGAAGUCAACUAGAAUGAUCAAUACGGCUGAUUCAACUCUUAUCUCAAUAAUACGUCGGCCGGAUCCACUCUGCGUGGUCGGUACGGCCGAACCUAUAACUCACCAAUUCCUCAUGUGUCAGUCGAAUCCAUUUCUCAUGGUCUGUACGGCUGAACAUAUAACUCAUCAAAUCUCUCUGUACUCACGGUCAAUCCGACCAAACUACUAAGUCCAUAACUCUGCUGAAUCGACACUAUGAUAUCAUGGAAAAUUGUUGAGUACAACUAAUUCUAGGGACGAUUCACAAUUCUGUGUCCCCUCUGUUCACAUAAACACAUUCAUAAAUUUACCUGCUGCACAAGGUACAAUUCCUUUACUCGAGACACCUUGUCUCAAAUAUCUGGAAUUACCAGUAUAUCCAUCACUUUUACUCUGACCAGCGACACCAAAACCUCGGCUGGAAGAAUUAACUCUAGCUUCACUUCUUUCGAAGCUCUGAAUCUUUCUAUAUCCUUGAUAUGACUAAUCAUUAACUUUAUCAUCUUCUUUUGAUUCCCAUUCAUUUCUUAUUCUUCUUUAUUCUCGUUGCUCAUGUUCUCAGAGUCCUCAAGACUCAACAGCAUCUCGUAUAUUCCUGGUAAGAAGUACAAUGGAUAGUGGUCACCCAAAAUACCACUUCCCUUUUUUGCCACCCAGCUUAAAACAACAUAACACCUCCACCAUAUUAACAACAAUAUCUGGAUGGAACGAGGCAAGUCUGAAAACUUUCUAUAAUAUCCCUCGAUCAUCACCUUCCUUGUCUCAUAUUUGUAAACUCUUGUUUACUACCAUCGAUAAAUGCCGGAGGGAUAAACUUUUCCUUAAACAAGUCCUUAAACAAUUCUCAAUCGACUGUUCCUCCGGUGACAACAAAUCAUACUCCUGUUUCCACCAGGAUACAAAUUCAUACCCAAAACCAGGUAGUCGUCUCGACCCCCUGUCAGAAGGAAAUUUCCUUUGACUUGCAUAACCUGAAACAUCUUUUCCAAAUGGUUAAACCGUUACUUCGCUCCCUCAGGUUCAUCAUUUCUCUUAGGUGAUUCAAGUUCAACUCAUUACCCAUCUUAAAAUGUCCAUUUUGAUAAUAUACUGAAUCACCAUAAUAAUAGUUUCCCCCUAAACCGCUAAAUCAGGGAGACUAAGUUCCUCUAACUACGUGGUUUGCUACGAGGCGGUGUAGUUCUGACAGAAUUCACUAGAACUUCUCAAGAUGUCCAAGAUUGCAACCAUGCUCUGAUACCAACUGACACACCCCGUCCCGAAGGAGGGCAUGCUGGCCGUCACGUGAGAGUGACGUAACCAUUUGCACAGUACGGAAGCUUUAAGAUACAAUUUAUAAGUUGAUACACCCGAAGGGAGUCCUAAUUUUGUCCAAUCUGUCAGAACACCGUCGGAUUCCUCGUAGCCACCACACCUCAGCUAUUCUUUAACCUGGAGGGGCGCAAAACCAAAAUUGAGUGGGUCAGUAAAACAAUUCUUUUCCAAAUCCAAACAUUUCUCAAAACGUUGUAACCCCUCUCCGUAAAACCUGUAUACUUUCCCAGAAAUGUAAAAUAUAAAUAUACAUAUAUAUUCUCAAAACUUCAUUUUUACUAUCUCAACAUUUUUCUUUAUCAAUCAUGCCAUGCCAUGUCUAAUUCAACAGUUAAGUAUGGAUGCAUCAACAAUAAUCAUAUCAGGUACAAGAAAGUAAUCAACCGGAGGCCCUCUAAUAGCCCUGUACGGUUGAACCUAGAGCUCAAAAUCUAUCACUAUCACUCUACCGGAGUCACCUCUGUGACCCGUCCGGCCUUCUGCACACAAGUUACGCUCUAGUGCUUUCUCAUCAAUCAUCUGUGCACAUAAUCUAAGGUCACCCACCAGUCGGAAUCUCACUAACACUCUCGCGACUGGCCUGUCGUACCCACUCCGCGUGGACUGUACGACUAGCAUCUACUUGGAUCCAAGGCGAGCGUGCAAUGCGGUGAAUACUAUAAGCACUAAACCAUGGUGCAGGAUUUGAGCUCAAUAUAUAUCAACAUCAUCAUAACAGUAAUUAAAUACUCACCUGAUACUCACCUGUGCGUCCGCCGCACCAUUCAUUCAUAUGCAUCAUAUCUCAAUUCAUACUUUUCAUAUCAUUUCAUGCAUGGCAAUUCGAUUCACAUUUCUAUAUACUUUUCAUAUACUUUUAUGCAUGGCAUUUCAACUAAUAUAUCUCAUAUACUUUUAUACAUUUUCAUUAAAAGCAUAAUUUCAUGCAUUUUCAAUUUCUGGGAAACGGCAAGUAUAUAUGUAUACGGAAAACAAAACUGCCCACUCACCUGGAGUUCGCCCUACAACUCCCUAGCACAAUACGCCAAGGCGUCAUGACGAUCGGCGCCUAAAACAAUAAUUAAUUCCAACCUCAGAAUUCAUAGUGAUAGAAUAUAUAACUUAUAUAAAAUACGUCACUACGUAGUUCGAUCCGGAAGAUCUGCCACUCAGAUUUUAAAUCCAUAACUUCCAGAGGUCCACAAUAUAUCUCUAGGACAACAUCCUAAAAUUUCAUCACCAUCCAACGGUCGGAUCGUCAAUUCACAUUUUUACCUAAAUGUGAAAACUAUAAAACGUUAUUCGAACACCUAACCAACAAUCCUUAAUAACUUUCUCAUACGGUGCUCAAUUUGGGUAUAUGAAUAUACCACGGUGAUCUACUCGACGUCACGGACGUCGACAUAUUUUUAAAAUAAUUUUAUUUAUUUAUUUUUUUUAACUGUAGCACCUUCUUCUUCCUUGGGUCGCCGGACUGGUUUUUCCGGCGGCCGUUUUCCGGGCAGUUUUUCAAAUUGUCAUAACUUUGUCAUUUCUCAACGAAAUCAAGUGAUUCAAAAACGAAAGUUGUAGCCCUUGAAGAGAAAAAGAGAAUGGUACCUUGAACAACACCUCGUUCGCCGUGGUUUGGCCGAAAACUGCCUCGAAAGCCUCGGAGGUCGCCGGAAACUGGGUAUUUUUCAAAUGAGUAUAACUUCUUCAAUACUCAACGAAAUUGAGUGAAACAAAAAGGAAAGUUGUAGUACUUGACGAGACGAAGAGAUUGAUACCUACCUCGACUCCUAACUCGCCGGGGAUUCGCCGGAAAAUGCCUCGAAAGCUCCGGCCAAACUUUGAACUUGUCGAUCUCCGUGUUCUUACGUCCAAAAACUUCCAACGAAGCACUCCGAGCUUCCUUGGGACUUCCUUAAGCUCACUGUGAGCUUAGUUUGGCCUAAAACACAACCAAUUCAAAGCUCAUGAACAGUACACUUUCACGGGGGGUUUAGAAUCUAGGUUUUCCGAAGUAAAACUUACCUGAAAUUGGUGUCUACGUGAUCGUGGAGGUUCCAGGAGUUCGAUGGUGGUCUUAAAUGGAACGUUGGUACAAGAUUGUGGUGGUUCUUGGUGGUUGCCGUGAGUUCGAGAGUAAGAGAGAGAGUCUGAAAUGAUAGAAUAAGAGAGAGAGAGUGACUAAGGAGAUGAGAGAGAGACAACAAAACGGGUUUUGGGGAAGGAUUUCAGGGUAUAAGGCCCUACCUUAACCCAUAUAAUAUUAACACAUACAAUUACACACCUUAAUCCCGUUUAAGGGUAUUUCUGAAAUUUCACGUCCUCGGAAUUUAAAAUUCCGGAACGGGCUGACAGUUUCCAUAUCCAAUAAACUUUUGUAGAGGCCAUUUUUUUUUAAAUUGUUGUAGAAAUCAUCUUUAGAUAAUAAUAAAAGAAUAAGAGGUUACGAUUAUAACGUUUAUAUGAUAAUAUAAUAUCACUUCAUUCCUGAAAAAGGAGUCCACAGAUGAAGCCAAAGAGUCAUAAACAUGCAUACGUAGGAAUAAUUCAACCGACGGAACACCAUGUUUAAAACAUGUCAUAUUCGAGUAGACAACGAUCGUAUAUGAUUACACAAUAAUGAGUAAAUGACAAUCUAUUUGCUUUCAGACUGACAAAGGUUGGCUCGCAUAUUGACAUGUCCUGUCCUCCUAUUCUCCGCCGCGUCGGAAGUAGGGUAGCGGGAAUCCCCUUCGGAUCAGAUUCUCCCUCCAUCCCAGAUCAGCUUUCAAGACCAUUCAUUAAAUUUAAUUUUCAGAAAUUAACGAAAGAAUUAACAAAUAUAAAAAAAAAUACAAAUAAAAGAUAAAGAUCUCCAGGACAAUGCUUUCAACAAAAAAACAAUUCCCAAAUGAACUCUUGAUUUCUUUCCAGGAAAAUGCUUUGAUACGAAGCUUUAGGAGCCAAAAAUUGUGUUUCUACGCUAAAAUGAAAAGAAGCUUAUUACUUGAUUCUCCAAAAUUCGUGUGGCUGAAAAAUGUGUCAAUAAGAAAGAAGAUAUUACUCCACUUUGAAAAACGGGCUAAUUGAUGAGUAUUGAACUUAUAUUAUAUAAGGAAAACUAAUGAAAAAGGCUUGAAAACUUUGAAUAAAGUGAAUAGUACCAAGAUUGACUUUUUAGUGUAAAAAUGUGGUUUUUCGUUAAAGUGAACAGUACCGGGUGUUUUUCGUUAAAGUUCCCUAUUAUAUAUUGUACCCUAUUUUUAGUUUGUUUCCUUAUUUAUUUUCGUGAAAUUUUGAUAUUUUGAUUUAUAUUUUUCAUGUAGAACAUGUGACUUAUUCUUGAGCAAAAGGUGAUCGAGCAGACAAAUUUUGGAGUGAUUCUAAUUGGAGGAUUUUCGUGAGUCUUUCAACUUAUUUGUGUCAAAGUUUCAAAUUUUUCUACCAAGUGGUUAACCUAUGGCGAUGAAAUAAAGAACUAGUGCGUAAUGCUAUCAAAUUGACAUUUUAGGUUUAUUUGGGCUUUUCGAAAUCCAAAAUGGUGUAUUUUGGCGAUGAGCCUGUUUUGGAGCUGAUUUAGGCCUGAAUUGGACUAUUUAGUAAGCUGGCAAAUUCUCCACGUUUGAUUAGGAGAUUGUUUCCUAGUUUCUCUUAAUUUAAUUUGUUUCUUAGUUUUUGGAAGACCUUUUUCUAGGAAGGAUUUUAAUUGUAGUAGUAUAAAUAAAGAGGACGGCCCUAAGGAUUUGACACAACUUUGAGAGGAUUGCCAAAGGCUCUGGCGAAUUGAAAAUUUCAAACUACAAAGUGUUUUCACUCUUUUUCUAUUCAAUAAAAAUUCCUUUGAUUUUAAUUAUAAAUAUGCGUAACUAACUUCUUUUUUCUAGGGCAAGGCCCCGAGCCUUAGUAUGAAUAUGUAGUUUUUAUUUAAUUGCUUAUUAUAUUAUGCAUGCAUACUUUGAAUUGUUAAUCAUUGUGUUUAAAUUGUUUUUAUAUCUUAUUGCUUAGCUACCAUUAGGGUGUUUUAGAUAAGUAAUUAGAUUCAAUUUCUUGAAAUGCGGCCUAAAAAUUGAGGAAUGCUUCUUGUGGUUAAUAAUUGUACGUUCACUUAAGGCGAAUGCCAUGUCUCAAGGGUUGCAUGGUUUUUCAAAAGGCUUUCACAAAGCGGAAUGAGUCAUGCAUGUUUACAUUUUGUUUGAAUCCCACAAAUGGAUUGCAUGUUUGAUGUACAUUCUAUCUUGAAUGCCACCAUUAGAAUAUGUAGUAGGAAAACUUAACCUUCAAAGUUGCAUGGAUCAUUCAUAAGUGAUUGGUGAAACUACGUACAAUUAUUAAGGUGACGGGGGACCUUGGUGUCUUUUUAUAUUUGUUUCGAAACCGUGUGUUUUUAAAUUGGUUUCUCAAAAUUUACUUUCUUGCUAGUUUCUUUAAUUGUUUUUAUUAAAUUCGCUUUUAUUAUUUAACACAAAAUCAACAUUUUCUAAACUGUGUUUUCAAUUAAUUAAGAUUUGAUUUUACAUACAUUGCUUUAAAUAAUCCAUGUGAGAAUAACCUUAUACCAUUGCAAGUAUUUUAUGAGAUUUUAAUCCUCUUUGUGCAGGUACUAAAAAUCUUCUCACUAAUCAUAAUACAAAAAAAGAUGCUCGCUUACGGUUUUAUAUCAUGUCUUCCAUCAGUAAUCAUUUUGUGAAAAAGUAGGACAAAUUCAUAAGAGACAAUUUUUACACGUUUUUUUUAGCUUCUCACGCCUCUUUAUUUAUAAGGGGUGUGCUAUCCACAUACCCCAUUUUACUUCUCACACCCCUUGAUAAUUUAUGUCCGUUGAUCUUCUUCAAUUCAUCCGAUCCGAAGGCCGUAAAUUAAAAAAGUGUGUGAGAAGUAAAAUGAGAUGUAUGGAUAUCACAACCUAUUUA
This 9368-nucleotide long non-coding RNA is filed under the name Malus domestica (apple). RNAcentral's name for it is "long non-coding RNA (MDOM_LNC016897)". Lineage: Eukaryota; Viridiplantae; Streptophyta; Magnoliopsida; Rosales; Rosaceae. The record is from RNAcentral.